UUAUAUGAAAUUGAUUUUAUUUAUAAUUUACUAAAUCGAAUAUGAAUUUUAAAUAAAAAUUUUCAUAUAGUUUAUAAAAAUUAAUGAAAUUCAUUUGAGUUCUUCGCAUGGAUUAUUCUAAAAACAAAGUAACCAAACAAACAAAAUGAAUGAAGCAGAGAAAAUCCUAAUAUUGAGGCACCAAGCGUCUGGCACAAACAGAGCAAUAAUACCUCCUUUUGGUCUUGAAGUAAAGAGGCAAGAAACAGAACCUCCACUGGCUCUCUAUAUCCAUCGCCUGAAUCAUCCCUCCACAGUAUGGACAUGCCCCAGGCGCUGCUUGUCUCCCUACCACUCUCUCAUCUUCAUCACAAACAAACACUAAGCACAUCUUGAUUUCUUGCUCAACCUAUCAAUUCUACUUCUCGACGACCGUUGGAAAAGCUCAGUUUAUUGAUUCCUAGCUCGCCCUUACUGAGAUGAGAAAAUCGAUCAGUUAAAUAUUUUUUAUUAUGGCUUCGUUGAGAGAAGGCUAUUUGGGUAUUUAUAGCAAGAGAAAGAGGGGUUUUAGCUAGGGUCUAGAGAGGUAUAGCUUAGACUGGAAGCAAACAGGAAGAAGACCCAU
RNAcentral lists this unclassified non-coding RNA (604 nucleotides) under Hevea brasiliensis (rubber tree). The record is from RNAcentral. Lineage: Eukaryota; Viridiplantae; Streptophyta; Magnoliopsida; Malpighiales; Euphorbiaceae.